GGAUGUGCUCUGCCUGACAGUUGAUACCUGGGUUUUGGGAAGACCGGGGCUAAGAUCAGAAAUGCCCCCAAGAUCCUGUUUUGGACCCGGGCAGCAUCACCUGUGUCCCAUGCAAUUUUGGUAUCUGGCCUCCCGGUUUUCUGCUGCAUUUCUGGGAUUCACAAACUGGCGGGCUCACCACGCAGGCAGAAAUGACUUGUUCGGUCUUCUGGUUUCUAAUUGCUCUGCCACAGCAGGUGCUCCACAGAGACCUCAGUGACAGAGGGAGAGGAGGGCAGACGG
Lontra canadensis (Northern American river otter) is the source of this 282-nucleotide long non-coding RNA. RefSeq lists it as uncharacterized. The record is from RefSeq and is a predicted model, not a curated record. Lineage: Eukaryota; Metazoa; Chordata; Mammalia; Carnivora; Mustelidae. The transcript is spliced from 3 exons.